RNAcentral lists this long non-coding RNA (428 nucleotides) under Salmo salar (Atlantic salmon). RNAcentral's name for it is "lncRNA (ENSSSAG00000120134.1, ENSSSAG00020068531.1, ENSSSAG00075016641.1)". Lineage: Eukaryota; Metazoa; Chordata; Actinopteri; Salmoniformes; Salmonidae. The record is from RNAcentral.
AAAAAUAACUGUGUCUCAAAGAGAGGUCACCCGGUCAUUGUCAACAGCCAAGAGAAAUGGGUGAGCAAGAAUAUUUUGUUGUCAACCCUUGGUGAUGAUAUGCAGCUCCGGAUCGGACUGAGUUGCUUGGAGACUGAAGGACGGUGGCUCUGGGUGGACAACAAACCUUUGAGUCAAACUGGAAUGCACUGUGGGAGGGGACUAAAGCCCAAGCUGGACAUCAGUCUGAACAGUCAGUUCUCGGUUUUGCUUCCAGAGGCAAAGUGAGCUCUGUGAGUUAGUGCUGUUGAAUACCAAGGCAGCCUGACCACUGCAGGGAUGGUGGUGAAUGUGCUUGAGUGACCAGACAGAGCAGCACACCACAUAGUGUGCCCAUCCAACCAUCCAACCAACCAACCAACCAUCCAACCAUCCAUCCAACCAUCCAU